Molecule: long non-coding RNA, 1337 nt
Filed under: Cricetulus griseus (Chinese hamster)
Lineage: Eukaryota; Metazoa; Chordata; Mammalia; Rodentia; Cricetidae
Description: lncRNA (ENSCGRG00015036113.1)
Source: RNAcentral
ACCCACCCCUGCACUCCGGGCAGCCGCCCGGCGCAGGCUCCAGGCUGCUGUCGCUCUCCCUGGCGUAGAAUGCUCACAGGCCCUGGGCCAUCGGGAACCACUGGACCAGAGAGGUCCGGGAGGGAGCCAACAUCUAUUAAGCUCUUACUGUGUGUCCAACGAUCUACGGGGAACCCUCUACCAAGGGUCUGGAAGUGGGAAUCUCUGCGUAGACCAGAAGAGGGCUCUAGGAGUGGGGAAGUUUAAGGGGCUCUGGCUAGAGCUGGGAACUCCGGGGGCCUCCGGGUAACCAAUGGCCCACGGGUGAAAGUAAGCGCAGCUUCGUGCAACACCCCAACUCUGAGCUGGGACUGCUGUCCCGGGCUGAGGAGAAACGAAGGGCGAGUAUGUUAGGGGCGCAGGAACCGAAAUGGCCUCAGUCUCCUGUCACUGCCCCGUCACGAUGCUGGGGAAUCUCCAGGCCAGUAACCCAGCCCCCACCCCCUCCCGCACACUCAGGGGCCGCUGGACAAAGACCUGACGGAAUGGGAGGGGCCUGCGGGCCGGCCCUCGGGCUCCGGCCGCCGGAUCCUUCUGGGACCCGAACCCGCAAAUCCUGGCUCCCUCUCCCCAGCCCGCAGACUCCCCAGAGCCCGCCGCUCGCUACCAUCACUGCCUCGGUCCAGAUCGGGCGGCGAAGCGGGUGCCCGUCGGCGGCCGAGCGGCGAUCCCAUCCCUGGUCGCCCCCUUCCUCCCGGGAAAUGACCCUGGGCUCCCACGCACCGGCUCGGGUCUCUCCCGGCCUUGCCCUCCGACCUCCGCCUAGUUAGCCCCUCUGCCCCUCAGCCCCCGCCCUCCCCGGGCCUCGCACGGCCCCGUGCCCGCGGACAAAGCUCCGGACAUCGGACCGCACAGUCGCCACCCCCUGACCCCCGGCCGGCCCGCGCGCUCCCGCGCCUGCCCCCUCCCGGGCCUGCGACGCGUACCUCGGCAUCCCGGCCGGGUCCUAGACACUCUGUCCGUCUGCCGUCUCAUUGGUUGGUUGAAGACUGUGCCUCCUGAUCAACGCUUGACUCCGCCCAAAGAAGUACCACCCCUCUUCUCCUGCUCAAGGACAGCCGGAAUGACUCUGCAAACCGAGAAAGAUCUAGGGCCAAAUAAAGGCUAAAAUGCAAAAAUUGUCAGGCCUCAUGUCUUAUUUUUGUUUGAGAAAUGCAGGCAUUUCCAUGACAGCCAGCAGGCUCUUAACGGGGGCUGGGGAUAUUAGCCCUAGGAUAGGGCUCCUCAGCAUAAGAGAAUGCCCAAACUCAGUCCCCAGGACCUGUGUCCCCACUCACCCACACCCCCACAACCUCCCC